This 219-nucleotide ribosomal RNA is filed under the name uncultured bacterium. RNAcentral describes it as "partial 16S ribosomal RNA". It matches the Rfam family "Bacterial small subunit ribosomal RNA", at positions 1282 to 1500 of the family's 1533-position model. The record is from RNAcentral.
CUCAUCUCAGUUCGGAUUGCAGGCUGAAACUCGCCUGUAUGAAGAUGGAGUUGCUAGUAAUCGCGAAUCAGAAUGUCGCGGUGAAUACGUUCCCGGGCCUUGUACACACCGCCCGUCAAACCAUGAGAGUUGGCAACACCCGAAGUCGGUAGUCUAACCGCAAGGAGGACGCCGCCGAAGGUGGGGUUGAUGAUUAGGGUUAAGUCGUAACAAGGUAGC